AUUGAACGCUGGCGGCAGGCCUAACACAUGCAAGUCGAGCGGAUGAAGGGAGCUUGCUCCUGGAUUCAGCGGCGGACGGGUGAGUAAUGCCUAGGAAUCUGCCUGGUAGUGGGGGAUAACGUCCGGAAACGGGCGCUAAUACCGCAUACGUCCUGAGGGAGAAAGUGGGGGAUCUUCGGACCUCACGCUAUCAGAUGAGCCUAGGUCGGAUUAGCUAGUUGGUGGGGUAAAGGCCUACCAAGGCGACGAUCCGUAACUGGUCUGAGAGGAUGAUCAGUCACACUGGAACUGAGACACGGUCCAGACUCCUACGGGAGGCAGCAGUGGGGAAUAUUGGAUAAUGGGCGAAAGCCUAAUCCAGCCAUGCCGCGUGUGUGAAGAAGGUCUUCGGAUUGUAAAGCACUUUAAGUUGGGAGGAAGGGCAGUAAGUUAAUACCUUGCUGUUUUGACGUUACCAACAGAAUAAGCACCGGCUAACCUCGUG
Molecule: ribosomal RNA, 484 nt
Filed under: uncultured bacterium
Lineage: Bacteria
Description: partial 16S ribosomal RNA
Rfam family: Bacterial small subunit ribosomal RNA
Source: RNAcentral